AUACGAAGGGGGCUAGCGUUGUUCGGAAUUACUGGGCGUAAAGCGCGCGUAGGCGGACUGGUCAGUCAGGGGUGAAAUCCCGGGGCUUAACCUCGGAACUGCCUUUGAUACUGCCAGUCUCGAGUCCGGAAGAGGUGAGUGGAAUUCCUAGUGUAGAGGUGAAAUUCGUAGAUAUUAGGAAGAACACCGGUGGCGAAGGCGGCUCACUGGUCCGGUACUGACGCUGAGGCGCGAAAGCGUGGGGAGCAAACAGGAUGAGAUACCCUGGUAGUCCACGCCGUAAACGAUGGAUGCUAGCCGUUGGAUAGCAUGCUAUUCAGUGGCGCAGCUAACGCAUUAAGCAUCCCGCCUGGGGAGUACGGCCGCAAGGUUAAA
Molecule: ribosomal RNA, 375 nt
Filed under: uncultured bacterium
Lineage: Bacteria
Description: bacterial SSU rRNA
Rfam family: Bacterial small subunit ribosomal RNA
Source: RNAcentral